Molecule: ribosomal RNA, 609 nt
Filed under: uncultured Lachnospiraceae bacterium
Lineage: Bacteria; Bacillati; Bacillota; Clostridia; Lachnospirales; Lachnospiraceae
Description: bacterial SSU rRNA
Rfam family: Bacterial small subunit ribosomal RNA
Source: RNAcentral
AGUGGCGAACGGGUGAGUAACGCGUGAGGAACCUGCCUCAAAGAGGGGGACAACAGUUGGAAACGACUGCUAAUACCGCAUAAGCCCACGGGUCGGCAUCGACCAGAGGGAAAAGGAGCAAUCCGCUUUGAGAUGGCCUCGCGUCCGAUUAGCUAGUUGGUGAGGUAACGGCCCACCAAGGCAACGAUCGGUAGCCGGACUGAGAGGUUGAACGGCCACAUUGGGACUGAGACACGGCCCAGACUCCUACGGGAGGCAGCAGUGGGGAAUAUUGCACAAUGGGGGAAACCCUGAUGCAGCGACGCCGCGUGGAGGAAGAAGGUCUUCGGAUUGUAAACUCCUGUUGUUGGGGAAGAUAAUGACGGUACCCAACAAGGAAGUGACGGCUAACUACGUGCCAGCAGCCGCGGUAAAACGUAGGUCACAAGCGUUGUCCGGAAUUACUGGGUGUAAAGGGAGCGCAGGCGGGAAGACAAGUUGGAAGUGAAAUCUAUGGGCUCAACCCAUAAACUGCUUUCAAAACUGUUUUUCUUGAGUAGUGCAGAGGUAGGCGGAAUUCCCGGUGUAGCGGUGGAAUGCGUAGAUAUCGGGAGGAACACCAGUGGCGAA